UACGUAGGAUGCAAGCGUUGUCCGGAAUUAUUGGGCGUAAAGAGCGCGCAGGCGGUAUGACAAGUCAGAUGUGAAAGAGGCCGGCUUAACCGGCAAGGGUCAUUUGAAACUGUCAGACUAGAGUGCAGCAGAGGAUAGUGGAAUUCCCGGUGUAGUGGUGAAAUGCGUAGAUGUCGGGAGGAACACCAGUGGCGAAGGCGACUAUCUGGGCUGCAACUGACGCUGAGGCGCGAAGGCUAGGGUAGCAAACAGG
Molecule: ribosomal RNA, 253 nt
Filed under: uncultured bacterium
Lineage: Bacteria
Description: partial 16S ribosomal RNA
Rfam family: Bacterial small subunit ribosomal RNA
Source: RNAcentral